This 16-nucleotide small RNA is filed under the name Arabidopsis thaliana (thale cress). RNAcentral's name for it is "ATSL059750". The record is from RNAcentral. Lineage: Eukaryota; Viridiplantae; Streptophyta; Magnoliopsida; Brassicales; Brassicaceae.
AUGGAGACGGUGGUGG